GCUGAUAUGGCUCAGUUGGUAGAGCGCAUCCUUGGUAAGGAUGAGGUCCCCAGUUCGACUCUGGGUAUCAGCA
This is a transfer RNA of Aeromonas hydrophila subsp. hydrophila ATCC 7966, 73 nucleotides long. It matches the Rfam family "tRNA". Rfam says of the family: Transfer RNA (tRNA) molecules are approximately 80 nucleotides in length. Their secondary structure includes four short double-helical elements and three loops (D, anti-codon, and T loops). The record is from Rfam. NCBI's taxonomy places the organism in Bacteria, Pseudomonadati, Pseudomonadota, Gammaproteobacteria, Aeromonadales, Aeromonadaceae.